CUGGGAGAAGCUGAGAACAGGAUUUGGAGACACGCCUUUUCAUCCUCAAAAAUAUAUAAAAGUGACUCUUCCCAACUCUUUGGGGGAAUCCUGUGGGGCCCCAUGAUGGAUUCCUCAAAUGCAGAUGCUCACCACUCUCAUAUCGGCAGCUGGAUAGAUUGAUCACCAAUCAUCUGGAAAAGAGAAAAAAGAAAGCAGAAAGACAGAGGCAGACACACUUGCCGGGACAGGUGACUGCACACGGGAACACCCUGUCCCAGGUGGAGCUGCAUGGAACCUAACCAGCCUCACUUCCGCCUGGUCUGACGGUCCCUGACACUGAGGACACAGAUUCAAAGGGUUGCCAAGCGGCAGAAAACGUGGGCUCAGAGUACUAUUACUCUGCCCGUGAGGUAGAAAUUCCGUCUUGCUGUUGCAGCUAAUUUUGCUUGCAGCUUCACGUUAACGUCAUCGCCUCCUCAAUCCUUUUACUCCAGUGGCCCCUCAAAAACAGGAAGUGAACGUCUUUUUGGGGAAAAUACUUAAUGGUCUCCCUCCUCUUGCCACCCCAUUAAGGGAAUCUGUGAGUUAGAAAGUAGACAAGCUUUCAGACAUCCAUCAGUCUGAGGAGUGAUUCAUUUCCCCCAAAAACGGAGCAAGGUAUAGAAAAAUAUUAAAUAAGAACUGGAAUGUAGAAGCUGCAGUCAGAUCCUAAGAAGUCGCAUAGUCCUGUUAUAUUUACAGUAUAUUGAAUUCCCGCGAUAAUAAGCACUUCCUAAAACAAGGACAUCGUCUCUCCCCACACAAUUAAAAAAAAGGAGGCAUUAUAAACACAAGCAAAAUGAAGAUGAGGACAAGGUGUAGUUUUAGAUUAUACAUAUCAGUAUUUGAUUCUACAAAACAGAUCAUCAAAAGUGGUUCUUUUUAUACGAACCGAACGAGGUGUGAUUUUGACAGUCAGCGCACGGUUUCUCCUUGACCCUCCUAUUAGCAGCUUAGGCCUCCUUCCCUCCAGGUCCCUCCUGCUCUCGCCAACAUGGAUCCCCAUUCCCCAUCUUUCAAUCCUAACCUCUUUUUCUUCCUCUUCUUCUUGCCUUCCUGCUGGGCAUUCUGAAGCCCCUUUUGCAUCCCAGUGUUCUGUCUGACAAAAGCGAGGGUGACGAUUUCUUUCGGAUCUUCUAUGGUACUGUCCUCCCUCUCUUCUGAGUCCGUCCCUUCCUCGCCUUCCAAAGGCAGGCACUGGAGCAUCUCCCCAGCCAGGGAGGAGACCCUGGGGAAAUACUGGCCCCCCCCUGGAGAGAGGGCAGAGGGAGCGGCAGUUACUUGGAUCCACCUGCAGGGGGACCCCCUCCCUCGCUCAUGUGGGUGGUGGACCAGCCCUCUGAGACCAAGCAACAGGUUGCAGUUUAUAAAACUCCACCCCACGUCUACAGUUGGUGCAAACUCCAGGAGGGAGCCGACUCCACCUUUCGCCAGCGACUAUGACCUUGGGGACUCCGUCAGCCAACCCUGGUCUUGGUUUUUCCCUCCGGGGGUUUUCAGGAGAUGGCCGACAUGCUUGCUAUGUGUGGUGCCAGCUGGUAAACAAUCUUAUUAUUAAAGUGAGUUGGGUGUCUGGAGACAGCCUCAGAACCAAGCCCUAAGCCUUCUCAGCUGAGUGAGUUAGUCCCAGCGGGUGCGGAUGAGGUGCUUCGAGGAGUCCUGUUAACUGUUUCAGCACUGCACGAACCUGCUGGCCAGAGAGCCACGGAAUGCAGGACCGACUCGUAGCUGAUUGGAUGAGAUUCCAGCCCAGGGCCAGAUGCAGACCUCCAGAGAGCCCAGCGACAGAAGAGGCUAUAAUGUCUCCCCGACCACCCGAAUCAAAAUAGAAACAGGACCAAUUCAUAACACACCUCCAAGGAAGUCCAGCGAAGUUCUCAUCCCCCCACUUUCAUGAUGACUUCUCUGAUGUGUGCUUGAAAUUUCAACUACCAGAUUUUUUGGGAAAGAUUUCUAAUGCCCCUGCUUCACUAAUGCUUAGGAAUGUGCUUAGUUUGCCUUUAGGUAAGCCAGAACCGCUCAGUUCCAAUUAACUGAUUCCUAUCCCCUUCACAUCCAAGGCUUCUAUGAGCAUAAAGCCAAUUUUGUGGUGUUCGCCCCUCCUCUCUCACCAUCAAAAACCCUGCCAACCUGCUCAUCAUUUCAAGCCCUCUCCUUUGAUGGCCGAGUCCUCGUGCGACUUACUAACCUUUUCUUCCCUCACAAACUCUUUGGCUUUUUAAAAAAGAUAUUAAUAAUAUCUUUAUUACAGGGGCUGGCCCUGUGGCCUUAGUGGUUAAGUUUUGCAUGCUCUGCUUCAGGGGCCCGGGUUCGGUUCCUGGGUGCAGACCUACACCACUCACUGGUAGCCAUGCUGUGGUGUUGACCCACACACAAAAAAAGAGGAAGAUUGGCACAGAUGUGAGCUCAGGGUGAAUCUUCCUCAGCAGAUAAUAAUAAUAAUAAUAUGUAGUAAAAUUAAUUCUAAUUUAUUAUUAUUAUUAUUAUUGGAAUACUGUAACAUUAAAGGAAGCUUAGGGGCCGGUCCUGUGGCUGAGUGGUGAAGUUUGCGUGCUCUGCUUCGGCAGCCCAGGGUUUUGCAGGUUCAGAUCCUGGAUGCAGACCUACCACCACUCAUCAAGCCAUGCUGAGGCAGCAUCCCACAUGCUACAACUAGAAAGACCCACAACUGAAAAUAUAUACAACUAUGUACCGGAGGGCUUUGGGGAGAAGGAAAAAAUAAAAUCUUUAAAGGAAGCUUAGAAAAAGGGUAGGGUGGGAAAUCCUCAUAGCUUUUCUACCUUAGCAUAGCAACUUUAGCCUCUUUGUGUAGUCUCUUUUAUUCUUCAUUUCCAAGCAUAAUUAUUCUUAUAUAACUGUAACCAUAAUAUAUAAACAAUUUUGUAUCUGCUUUUUGCCCACUUAAUAUCAUAUCUAAACAUCUUUUGGGUUGUGGCAGAGUUUACAUGUUUCUGGUUUUUAAUGGUUGUGUAAUAAUGUCCCACUGAAGGAAUGUGUUUGAAUUUAACCAACCGUCAUCCUAUUGUUGGCAAUGUAAGUUGCUUCCAAUUUUGCUAUUAUAUAAACAGCUCUAAAAUGAACACUUUCAAGUAUAAAAGGGCUUUAAGUAAAAGGCCUUUACUUUAGAAUUAUUUUCUUAAGAUAUAUAUCCAGAACCAGGAUUACUAGGUUAAUGAAUAUGAAAAUCCUAUAGCUUCUGGUUUUACUUAUCUAGUUAUUAAGUUAUUUAUUUAUGUCACCAUAUUAUUGCCCAGAGGGAUUCCAACAAUUUGGACUACCACCAGCAAUAUGCAAUUAUAGCAGGCUCACCAGUCACAUGAUCUCUUGGGAAUCCCUUCCCUCUGUACCCAAAGUUGCUAAUUCCAGACAACUUUUAUACCUUCCGGCCAUGUUUCUAACGUUUCUACGCCCUUCCACGUCUCUCCGCCCCUUUCCCAAACCAAAAUUGGUGGUGGGCAGUGCUCUAACUUGGAGGCUACCUAUGAAUAAUGUAAUCAUAAGCCCUUAUGUGGGUAUAGUUUUUUAAGCUUUCCAAAGAAUUGUCACCUACACCAUCUCACUGACUGCUCACAACCACGCCCCGGAGAGGGAGGGCAGAAUUAUUAAGCCAGCCAGGGAUUGCCGCUUGUUUCUCUCUCUUCCUGAAGAGGGCUUACACCCAAGUCCCUUUAUGGUGACACCUGAGCAGGGGGAGAAAGAGUGUGCUCAGUGCUAUGGAGCAAUGAGACUUGGGCAAGGCGAGUCCGUUUCUCCCAGUGAACAGGCACAUUCUUGGCGAAGUUCAAGAGGACUAAGCUACAUGAAAUCUUGACCUUGGGCUGUUCCCUUCCUUCCAGCUGUUCGGCCCUGGACUAUGAACUCCCUGAUGGAAGAGGCUGUGUCUGGGAAUUCUCAGCCCCUCCCACGGUGUCCGGCACAUAGCAGAGGUUCAUAUGCUUCCUGAAUGAACAGACUGGAAGAACGGAUAAAUGCAUGAACUAAUUUCACCUAAGGCUCAUUUUCCUCAUCUAUGUAAUAGAAGUCUUGCGGUGAGCAUUAAAUAAAUAACAUUUAUUUAAUACUUCCAUAUAGCAGACACUUAAAACACUUAGUUUCAUUCACUUAUAACAGUAGCUACUAUUUACAAGCUACUUAGCAAGUAACAGGCAUCAUACUAAAGCACUUUACACACAUACUAUCUCAUCCUCAUAAUAUCAUAUCACAGAUAUGAUCUUCUCUCCAUUACAGAUGAGGAGACCGAGGCCCGGAAAGGCUAAGGUAGAGGCAGAGUUGGGAUGAGAAGCCGUGUCCGUUUGACCCCACAGCCUGUCUCUCCUCCACAUUCCACCCGCUGCCUUUCCCUCUCUGCUGAUCACUCACUAACGGUGGGCCGUAAAGGGAAGCAACUGAUCUCCGAGCUCCCAGAAGCAGCCUUGGUGACUUCAGUCCCUUAAGAAUCAGUUAGUUCCACAUCAUUUUCCCUAAAGCCACUGCUUCUAAAUUCCCACCUCCAGGAAGGGGCCUGGAUCUCCCCAGAUUUGCCAUAACCUGGGAACAGCUCCAUUGUUUCUACUUUGUAUUUAUUUUCACUUUCUUUCCCUUCUUUUCACCAAUGUCCACGUUGUACCUGGGCUCUUAUUUGGGGUGUAAUUAGAACAUUUUCUAAGCUCUUAUGGAAUUCCUGAAUAUUACAGCCGGAAGGGACAUUAGAGAGUGUCUGGUUCAACCUGUUUGUUUUUUAGAGGUUUUGAAAUCCCCCUGCCCAGCUAGGGAAAGAGACUUGCACAAAGUCAGAGAGCAAGUCAGCAGAGCAGGACCGAAGCCCUGGCUUCCUGCCCCACUGUGUACCUUUCCAUUAUGCCAGGUUAGAGGGCAGGCAAUGCGGCCUAAGUGCUUUGGGGAGGUUAAACAAGAAGACUAAGUUGUGCUACAAAUGUAGCAAACAUAGUAAAUACCUCUUCAGUUUUUCUUAAUGACACAAGACACAUUCCGUUCACCUUUCCAAAUAGGAUAGUCAAGACAGUGAAAAACUUUGAUGUUUCCUUCCAUUUUAGUAUGGGGUUUGACCUUGGGAUCUUCCAAGCCAGAGGCUGUCAAAUCCUGUUUAGACAGCAUGAAAAUGACCUUUAUUGGCCACCAGGGGGAGGGGAUGAGCACUGGGAUGGCUCCAUGCAAACACAUUGCUGGUUACUGGGGACAUUUCACAGGGACCACGUCUCACGUCCACUUCUGAAGGACUGUACAUGUUGACUACUCUUUCUUCCCCUGAAGGUGUUGCAGAAGGGUGGAAAAUGUUUAGUGCUUUCUUUUGUAAAGCUGAAUUAAUACGGGUGUCCUCUAAAUGGGUGGAAAGAACCAUUUGGCAGUUAAGAAAGAUUGGAACAUGUUCCAACUUUUAACCAAAUUUUUUCAUCCUGACCUUCACAGCCUAGGCUUUUCUUCAGUCUGUAGGAACACAUAUAGCACUGAAGAGCUCUCCCAUGAUGUCUGCCUGUGACUUCCUUCUCUUCCUCCAAAUAAUAGGUUUUCCUGCGCCCCUCUCCCCUUUUCAUCCUUUGGUCCUCAUUCCCCUACUCGAAGCAUCCCUCUGAAGGCUUCCAGUGGCUAGCUCUUGGAAAGGACCAAGUGGAUGGGUGUGGGGAGACGUGGAGGGAAGACCUCUGGAUCUUGCUUUCAGCUUUGCCUCUUUGACAUAGCAUAUCAUAAGAAGCCAAGCGAUUAUCUCCUUCCUUCCUCAUUCCCUUUCUUCUCUGUGAUGACAGGAUCACCAGGAAGAUAAAAGCUUCAUAUCUAGAAAAGUGCUUUGAGCUUUGAUGCAGGCAGGAUAAAAUAACAUGCCUUUUAUGGCCUUUUGGCUUUUCAUUCUAGCCACCCUUUGAAUUUCAGCACAGGGCCUGAAGGGGUCUUUAGCAUCACACGGACUAACAAGGGAGGGGUGUGGGUACUCAACUGCUCAAGGGGUUUGCCAAUAAGAAGGGCUGAGAAUGACGUGCCACAUUCACUGGGACAAUAAGAAUCUUGCUGGGGGCCGGCCCUGUGGCCGAGUGGUUAAGUUGGUUAAGUUCCUGUGCUCUGCUCUAUCGGCCCAGGGUUUCACCGGUUUGGGUCCUGGUCGUGGACAUGGCACUGCUCAUCAAGGCACGCUGAGGGGGCAUCCCCACAUAGCACAACCAGAGGCGCUCACAACUAGAAUACACAACUAUGUACUGGGGGGCUUUGGGGAGAAGAAAGAAUAAUAAUAAAAAACGAUUGGCAAUAGUUGUUAGCUCAGGUGCCAAUCUUUAAAAGAAAACUUCUUGCUGACUCAGAUGCCAUCUUUUAUUCUGCUGGAAACUGGGGAAUUCUGCAAGAUUGGAAGAUGCAAUUUUCAGGGCAGGCUUAUGCCCAGCCAUUUUCUCCACAAUAUUCAGUGUGUUACUAGCAAAGACAGAUGGCUCUGGAUCCAAAUCCAAGCUCUACCACUUACUAGAAGGGUGACUGUGGGGGAGUAACUGAGCCUCUUUGUACCUCAGUUUCCUCACAAGUAAAAUGAGCGUAAUAAUGUUCAUCUUAUAGAGUCGUUUUAAGGAUUAAAUGGGUUAAUAUUCCUAUUGCUCUUAAAGCAGUGUUUGGUUCAAAAUAAGGGCUUUAUUGUAAAAUGAAAAUAUAAUGGUAGGAUUGGUGUACAUAUUAAAUGACUUAUUGAAAUGCCUGGCACAUACCGGUGCUUAGUACACGUUAGCUCCCUUCCCUUGUCAUCCCCAGUUGUAAGUUACAUUUUUGCUAGGAUCCAAAUCCCACAGGAGAACUUUCCUCAAGCCUGGAAGAGUUUUCCUUCAGGAGGGUGAGACAUAAAAACUGGAAGUGAAAGAAAAAGACUGGAAAAAGGAUAGGGGUAUUUGCAGAGGCUGUGCUGCCAUGAAAAACAGAAGUGUGUUUCUGGGAGGUUUCUCCAGACAAAGGAAGAAACGUGAUCAAGAGAAAGAUCCAGAGAUGGGGAAGGAGGAGAGGAAGAGAUCUGUGCAUUCCCAGGGCUCUCUGGUAUAAGGACAGCUCCCUGGGGGCACCAGGGUUGGUAAAUGGAGGGAAGGCAGCAAGUGAGGGUGCACUCGGAGGGCGACCCGGGUUUAGGAGGGACGUGAGGACAGGAAGAAUGGAGCUGGGAAAAGAAGGGUCGAUGUGUGGGCAAGGUCCUGGCCUUGGGGUCUUGAGGAUGAGAAAAGGGCGUGAGGGUAUUUUAGCGGAAACUCGAGUAAGGAGCCGGGAAGAGGGCGCGCCUUACCAAGACCUGGGGAGGAGAGCUGAGGUACGGAGCCGAGGGGGAGCAGGGGCCGUGAGGGUGAGUGGCUUGUGCUGUAGAACGUCACCAGGGAAGGCAGAGGGGUAGCCCUGGGGAACUGGCACCGUGGGGGACAUCGGGUUUUCACUGGGAAGGCACUAGGAGGCCGCGAUCUGGGGCUAGCCCCUGGCUUUGGGGCGCUCUUACCCGCGUUUCCCACUCCCCGGUCUCGCCCCGCUGCGCUGUACCGCUCCAACCACACUCGCGGGCCCCUCCUCGAAGGAUUAAGGAGACGUGCUCCCACUGGCCGCCAG
Molecule: long non-coding RNA, 7572 nt
Filed under: Equus caballus (horse)
Lineage: Eukaryota; Metazoa; Chordata; Mammalia; Perissodactyla; Equidae
Description: lncRNA (ENSECAG00000047025.1)
Source: RNAcentral